Molecule: long non-coding RNA, 801 nt
Organism: Dreissena polymorpha
Lineage: Eukaryota; Metazoa; Mollusca; Bivalvia; Myida; Dreissenidae
Exons: 4
Source: RefSeq, a predicted model, not a curated record
UUAAAUGGCAGACGUUAUUUUCUUGUUCAAUCGCGUAUGAGCUUUAUCGAACCACAAAAUGUAGUCGCACCCAAAAUAGAUGUUGCUCACUACCAGGAGGGAGAUCUCAUCAAAGCCACUUACCAAAAACAAACAUACGAUGCGGUGAUCAGUGAAAUCCAUCAUGACGAGGUUUCUCUUGAAGCAAGCAAAGCGACCGCCUAAGCAUGCUUUCGAGGCAACUUAAGAUAGGAAAAAAACUCAAGAGUUCAGUGAUCAAACACCAACAGAGCCUCGUGAUAAGUUGCCUGUAAAGAGGAGCAUGAACCCAUCAGAUGCCUCCGAAGAUAUUGACCUGACGAACAAUGCUGCAAAGCAAAAUCUCAGUAAGCAAAGUGCUCAAACACCUACAGAGCCUCGUGACAAGUUGCUUGUACACAGAAGAGCCUGAUCCCAUCAGAUGCCUCCGAAGAGAUUGAAAAGAACUGUUAUGGACAUUUUCAGAACUGUUUUAGAACAUUUGUUCCAGACUUAUUUGAAGCAACCCUUCGAAACUGUUCUAAACAUUUCUAGAAUUGUACUGGAACACACCGGCUAGAACUGUUCUGUAAUCAUACUGAAAAUGUUCUAGAAUUAUUCUGGAACAGUUGUUGAACGUUAAAUGAGAAAAAAAUUCUAGAACAAUUCUAUAACAGUUCUGGAAAUUUAUUCAAGAAAAAUUCUGGAAUAGUUCUAGAACGAUAGUUCAAGAAUUGUUCUAGAACAGUUGUUGAACGUUAAAUGAGAAAAAUUUCUAGAACAAUUCUAUAACAGUUCUGGAAA